CCUGUGACUGGGUCAAUCCAUUGGAAAGCGAAUAAGUGCUGGCUCCCCUCCGCUAGGCGGCAGCAAAAGAACGCGUCUUUCAAGUCGAGUACAGAGAAGUAUUUCGCAUCAGGGGGGAUUAAACUCAGCAGAGUGUAAGGAUUGGGGACGUUGGGGUGGAGGGUUUCCACAGCUGAAUUCACCAGCCUCAGAUCUUGGACCGGACGGUAGCCACCUCCCUCUUUCUUUACUGGAAGCAAGGGAGUGUUCCACUGGGAUUGACAGGGCUUCAAGAUGCCAUGUUGUAGGAGCCUAUGCAGGUGAGUCCACACUCCUUCUGCUGCCGCUCGAGGGAUGGGGUACUGGUUCACAGCCACCGGAUUCACGAAGGGCUUCGUCCUUACAAUUAUUGGGGGUAUAUUUUUAGCCAUGCCAGGAGGGUUGCCUUCAGCCCAUACUUCAGGAUUUACUUGUUCUAAGAGGCUGGUUGGAAUGGGCCCCUCCUCUUCUUUUAUCAUCAUGAGGCGCCAAUACUCCCUCAGGGGUGCUUCCACAACCAAUUCUCCAGGUGGCAUUGUGGACAUGGUGGCCUCUCCGGAUGGUUUAAAAGUGAUCUGGGCUUGUAAUUUGGACAACAAGUCUCUUCCCAGCAAUGGAAUAGGGCAUUCAGGAACAUACAGAAAAUUAUGCUGCACCACUUGGCCUCCUAAUUUGCAGGUGACCGGUUGUAGAAAUGGUGCCUGCUGGGACUUUCCAGUGGCUCCCACUAUAUUAAUGAAUUCUGUAGUUAGUUUUGCAACGGGGGUUGGGACGACCGAGUAAGCCGCGCCUGUGUCAACCAUAAAAGGAAUCAUGUGGUUCCCUGCUUGCAUUUUGACCAUGGGCUCACGGGAACCUAAAUUAGUUGGGCCCGGUCUGUCCUAAUAUUCAUCCUGGUGUUGCUGCAGGCUCAUGGCUUCAGCCUGUCCUCGGUUCCCAGGCGGGUACCAAAGGCCUCCUCUUCCCCUUCCUCGUCCCCUGGAGGGUCCCCAGGCGCAGCCCAGGGUCUUAAGUCAGUGCCAUCUCCCAUGGGGAUGGUGCCAGGAAUCCGGCCUCCCCUGCCUCCAGUCCUUCCCUGAGGGCAUUCGUUCUUCCAGUGGCCCUCUUGGCGGCAGAUGGCGCACUGGUUGCGUCCCAGGCGGCCGCGCCCUCCUCCCGGGCAGGUUCCCCCGUGCCGCUGUUGCUGGCGCGCAGAGCCAUGAGUUUCUUAGCCUGGUAAUUUUCUUUCUUCUUCUGGGCUACCUCAUCUCUCUGGUUAUACGUGGUUUGUGCCACCUCUAACAUCCACUCCAGCCCAUGUCCUAAAAACCCUUCGGUUUUUGAAUUUUUCUGCGAAUAUCGGGAGUGGCUUGGGCCACAAAGGCUGCCUUAACAACCGGAGCAUUGGCAGGAUCGUCUGGGUCCAGAGGGGUAAACUGCCGGUAGGCUUCCUUCAGACGCUCCAAAUAAACCCCUGGCGACUCAUCUGAUUUCUGGACCACCUCAGCCACCUUAGCCAAGUUAGUAGGCUUCCUAGCUGCCCUCCUCAUUCCUGCCAGUACAUGGUUCCUGUAUGUUGCCAGGGCAGUCCGAGCAUUCUGAUCCUGAUAGUCCCAAUUAGGAGUGGCUCGGGGGUAGGCAUCAUUUAUUUGGUUAUCAUUUAAUUGUAACUGCCUCAGAUGCGCCCUUGCCUCACUAUGGACCCUCCGGACUUCUUCCGUUGUUAACAGAGAGUCCAAAAGAUAUUGAACAUCAUCAUAAGUAGGAUCAUAAGUCUUAAAGAUCCCUUCAAAAAGUUUAAUGAUUUUGGCUGGGUUCUCCUCAAAGGAAGGGUUCUGAUUGCGCCAAUUGCAAAUAUCAGCAGUUGAAAAAGGCACAUGUUGGAUUGUGUAGGUGCGCGGUGCUGCUGCCCCAUUCUCCCCUGGCGGUCCUGGGGGGUCAUAAACUACCCGGAGGGGCAUCAAGGCUGUAGCCUGAUCUUUCUUCUCUCUCUCUCUCUCAUGGUGGGUGGCGGCUCUACGUGCUGCCUCCAGCCACCUCUUUUGUUUCUUUUUCCAGUGCCCAUCCUCACAACGUGCCACUUCUAAGAGGUGGGGACUAACAUCCACUUGGUCUUUAUAGGGGUCUACAUAGUCCUUUAUCCAUUUGUCUUGCUUCUUACUCCACUUCUCCCCUUCUGUACCUUCUUUUCCAACAUCUUUAACAGUGUCUCCUCAUCCCCCUCAUCAUCAUCACUUUCAUCCUCCUUAGCUGUCUCUGAUUUGGUGGGGUCUUUAUCCUCAGGGCUUGGGUUGAUAGGGCUGCCACCAACUGGGUUGGGGGGAUUAUUCUGGAGGUUAUUCUGCAGGGGUGGGCCAUUCUGUGGUACUGCCGGUAUUGGGGGUCUAUAAGGAGGUGGUCUCACAGCUAAUUCCUCUUCUGUGUCCUGAACCACAAGAGGUAAUUUCUGCUGCCGGACAGCACAGAUCCUUGCCUUUGCUGGAGCAGUUCGGCAAGCCUGCAGCCAAGGGGGGUUUUUAUCCACAUUGGUUUUCCACGUGGAAAUAUAGGGAAUUUGAUCUGGAUGGUCUUCAAUUAUUCUCUGCAGCAAGGGAUUGAUCAACCGCCCCUCAAAACUGCCUUGGGACGGCCAGGCAGUGCCCUGCGUCGGCCAGUCCACUUCACAAAGGGUCCUAAGCCUCUCCUUCUUCAAUUUGAACCCCCAGUCGUCAUUUUUCGUGGCCAAUUUCCAGUUGUUCAGGAAGCAUUCCAAAGGGGUACAUUUACUGUUUCCUGAACCCAUGUUUACCAGAAUACUCCGCUCCUAGCCAAAAUCAACACCUUGCCCACUUCACACACUACAGCCUGUGGCUUAGACGAGUACAGCCCUAGACACGCUUGGCCACGGAGACGCUAAGCCCCGACCUCUCACACAUUCAUCCUUUCACUGGAGUAUUUGGUCAUACAACACACAGUUCACCUCCACACCCUCACAGUCCACCUCCACCCUUUUUCCCUUUCCACAGACUGGCAAAGGGACCCCCCCUUUUUUACCCUUUUCCUUUCCCACACACUGGCAGCAGGACCUCACUGUCCCAGCCAAGCCUUCCUGGGGGCACUUAAUUGCCACACUCCAGGUGAGAUUGAUCAGAUCUCCUGCUCUUUUCUUUCCCAAGAGCUUACCUCUAUGUCCUGAGACACACCCUGUGUCCUCCCUCGGCCGAUCCCUUUUUCUCCCACGACCGGACGUCUCCACUCAGGAACGGAGUGAGGGAAUCCUCCCGCAACUGGCGGGCGCGCGCUGGAACCUCCUACGCCGAUCCAAGCUGUUCGUCCAGUCGAGCCUGGCCUUCAAGAUCAAACAGCAGGAGAGGUGGGUUUCCCGGCCAACGCACCAGAUAUGUUAGGAUAUCUGAUCCUAAGGGGUCCGGUUCCAGUCACCUGCCCCUG
This 3426-nucleotide long non-coding RNA is filed under the name Podarcis lilfordi (Lilford's wall lizard). The record is from RNAcentral. Lineage: Eukaryota; Metazoa; Chordata; Lepidosauria; Squamata; Lacertidae.